AACUUGUUUGUAACAUUUUUCUCACUUGGAUUAUUUUGUUGUUGCUGACCUUUAUAGUGAUACCUACAUCUUGGACUAGUUUACAGAAUAAGCACAAGCUCGUCAUAAGGCUGGCUUGCUUUUAUGAUGUAACAUAAGUAUGAAUUUUAACUUUGUGCCGUCCAUAUAAAUAGAAGUUCAACAUAUUUUUGUUUUCCUCUGGUAACAAUUAAAUUGAGAUGAAGAUUAUCACAUCUGAUUUGUGUUACUAUUAUAAUGUCAUUGUGCAAUUUUAAUGAGAUAUAUCAUAUCAUUUUGCUCAGUUGUCGCAAAAUACAAAAUACGAAGUUGGAACCUCUGCAACCGUGUACAAUGUCGCCGA
RNAcentral lists this long non-coding RNA (361 nucleotides) under Trifolium pratense (red clover). Its description in RNAcentral is "long non-coding RNA (TPRA_LNC013475)". Lineage: Eukaryota; Viridiplantae; Streptophyta; Magnoliopsida; Fabales; Fabaceae. The record is from RNAcentral.